RNAcentral lists this ribosomal RNA (492 nucleotides) under uncultured bacterium. RNAcentral describes it as "partial 16S ribosomal RNA". It matches the Rfam family "Bacterial small subunit ribosomal RNA", at positions 29 to 507 of the family's 1533-position model. The record is from RNAcentral.
AGUGAACGCUGGCGGCAUGCCUAACACAUGCAAGUCGAACGGCAGCACAGUAAGAGCUUGCUCUUACGGGUGGCGAGUGGCCGACGGGUCAGGAAGACAACGGAAUCUACGUUUUCGUGGGGCAUAACGGAGGGUAACAUACGCUAAUACCUCAUACUACCUCCUGGUGAAAGCACGCGACCUGCGGACCGUGUGCGAUUUAAUUAGCCGAUGUCUGAUUAGCCAGUUGGCGGGGUAGAGGCCGACCAAGUCGACGAUCCGAACCUAGUCUGAGAGGAUGGUUAACCACACGGGAACUGAGACAGGGUCGCGACAACUACGGGAGGCAGCAGUGGGGAAUAUUAGACAAUGGGCGCAAGCCUGAUCCAGCCAUACCGCGUGGGUGAAGAAGGCGUUCCGGUUGUAGAGCCCUUUUGUUGGGAGGUAAAAGCAGCAGGUUAAUACCCCGCUGUUCUGACGGUACCCAAAGAAUAAGCCCCGGCUAACUUCGUG